UGAUCCACGCGCAGCCACAAGAGGGACAA
This 29-nucleotide small RNA is filed under the name Bombyx mori (domestic silkworm). RNAcentral's name for it is "ovarian small RNA-32628". The record is from RNAcentral. Lineage: Eukaryota; Metazoa; Arthropoda; Insecta; Lepidoptera; Bombycidae.